CUCGGCCGCGCCCGCCGCGGGCCCGCGCCCCUCCCCGCUCCGCUGACCUCCCCGCGCCUCCUUCCCGCCCCUGCGGUCCCCGGCCCUGUCCUCUCCUUCCUCACGCCCCGACGCCUCUUGGCCCCAGUAACGCCCCGGGGAAGCUCCCGAGAGAGCGGCGGGGUCCGAAGCCUGCUGUCGCCCGAGCCGCUGGGCCGGCCCGGCCGGAACGCCCAGCCUCUCGCUGCCCGACUGGGCGGAGCCGUCCCGGCGCAGACGCGGCGCCCGAGAGCUCUCGGCGGCCCCCGGGCGGGCUUCGUGGCGCGGGCGGCGGGACCGGCGCAGAGGACCGUGCUUCAGACAAACGCCGCGCGGCUCAUACCGGAGCAGAGGCAGUCAAGCUUCUGUCCGCGAAAAUCUGGAUCCUUUAGAACCCGAGCAAUGUACUCGUGUGGGAAUACAAAAACAUUUCCCGCGGCGUGGCUUUGCACCGACAUAGGUACAGGCCCGAAGUGCUCCCCCACGCCCUGCCGGCGCCCGGGAGCCACAGGGGGAGUUCGCCUCGAGCUGACCGGGCUGCAGAGGGCGGGCAGCUCCCAGAAAUGCACUAAUUGAGUCACAAACCACGGGCCGCCCCUAACAAAGCGAUCCAUCUCGGCCGCUCCGCGCCCAAUUUGUCCGCAGUACUUUCUUCCGCAAUUCAGAAGCAUUAUCUUGUUUUUAGAAGUAUCGCGGCAGAAACGUGGCAAUUAUCCUGGGCUCGGGUUACGCUAAAUGGCUUUAGGCUGAGAAAUGGAAGAAUACAAAUGCCGCGAACGUGCUGAUCGCCUCGCUGCCAGGCCUGGACCUGGGGUAGGGGAAGCGAGCCAGAAGAUUACGGAGGGGAGAGGGAGGUCCGGCGCAAGUGCCCACUCUUGGCCCACUCCCAAUGGCACCGGCCAGAAAGAAGUGUUGGGCCUUUGUCCCUAGAGGUUAAGGAUUCUGAGCGAUGAACCCUCAGAGGUUGGGAGAGAAGGGGUCAUAUUCUAACAUCACCCGGCUAAGCUUCUGGCCUCGGCUUUGGGUCAGGAACAGGUUGGGAGCUUCAGGCACUGAUGAGAAAGGUGCUUGGCAUCUGAUGUUGAGUGCGUCUUCUGGCUAAGUCUGGCGCUUGGCGAGUCCCUGAGCCUGAGCCUUCUCAGAGCGCAAUUGAAGUCGGCCCUUUUCCUCCAGAACAGCAAGUGGAUGGGAAAGAACCUUGACAACACAAAACUCAUUUACUAAUGGACUGGUUUUGGGUUUCUCUUCUCCGGGUCCGCAAAUCGCCCUGCCUGAGCCCUCGGCCUAUUCAGACCUCGCGGGGAGCGGCGUCCCCCAGGAGGCAGGUGGGCGGCUGCUCCGGCCGCCGGCCUCGGGGAGCCCCGCAUCCCAAGGGUCGAGGGCACCCGGAGUUUCCGACCAAGCAGAGGAAAAAGGAUGGAUGCUGUCACUUCAGCCAGGAUUUGGGCAGUCUCUGCACUGCCGCAGAGCGACGACGCUAAUUUGUUAAAGAAACGCCUCCUGUUGCCUUUCCCUUCCAAAUAUACGUAGCUAGAGCAGGAUCCCCGCUGUCGUUCUUGAUGGCGAAGGAAUUCCAAGAAAGCAGGCCGUGAGCCCCAAAAACACCUCGCUCUAAGCCAGAAGGGAAAUAAGUGGGUCCCAGUCAGAGGUUUUUUGAACCAAGGCCUUAUGUCAACCCAGCCGAGAAACCCCAGCAGCAACCAGUGCCUCCGCAUUGGCCUUUCCAUUGACCAAUUGUGCGCACCCGGCCAUUACCUGCGCAGCAGAGGCACAGAAGAGCCGAAACCCGGCGUCGGGCGCCCCUCGCCAGCCGCGUUACCCUCGGGAGCCACGGAGCGGCGGGGGCAGCAGCUGGAGUUGCUCGUUCCCUUUAAAUCUCCGACGCAUCUCUGUUUUUCGUGUGAUUUGCAUUGACAGCAAAGGUUUUAAGUUACUAGAACAACUCUAACCUUUCUGUGCGCGAUUUAAAAUGGAUCAUUUGGUUUAUGUGGUUUGUAAAUUCAUGUCAUUUUACCUCUUUUAGUGGUUUUCAGUGAAAGGUUCCAUUUUGGGAAACCUUAUAUAUCCGAGCCAAUAAUUAACAUUUAUAACAAUUGGUUACCCUGACCAAGAGAUCGAAAUAGCAGGUAGGCUCGAUGGUACAAAGCGAAUAGCACUUUUCUUUUCUAGUUACGGGAUCUGUUGGAUUAAACACAAGGAGAAAGGCUGGCGGCCCGGCACAGCCUCCGAGAAGGAGCACCACUUCUCACUGACCCCAGGGCCCACAAUCACAGCACCCACACGGUUGUCUUCCCAGUUGUCGCCAACGUCUUGUAUGUCCUCAUUCCUUUUGAAGAGAGAAGAAAAGAAGUGGGUUGAGAGGUCUGGAGGAAGUCGAAAUGAAGGUGGUCACAUCGGUGUCUAAUUGCCUUCUCUCUGCUCCCGGUCAUCCCCUGUGAAUUUAUACCCGCCCUCCUUGGCCAGGCUAUGCCUCAUUUCCUUAUACAAAAUUUUUAAUUAUAAAGUACACCCCAUGCUCAACUUACCGUUUGUCUUUUAAGAGACGUAGCUGUACUUACAGCCGCUCCCCUGCCCCCCAUACACAUUGUAAUUCUGCG
RNAcentral lists this long non-coding RNA (2615 nucleotides) under Equus caballus (horse). RNAcentral describes it as "lncRNA (ENSECAG00000048481.1)". Lineage: Eukaryota; Metazoa; Chordata; Mammalia; Perissodactyla; Equidae. The record is from RNAcentral.